AGCAGCCGCGGUAAUUCCAGCUCCAAUAGCGUAUAUUAAAGUUGUUGCAGUUAAAAAGCUCGUAGUUGAAUUUCGGGAUUGACACAUCGGUCGUGCCUUAAGGGGUAUGAACUGGUGUAGUCAAUUUCUCACCUUCUGGAGAACCGCGAUGUCCUUAAUUGGGUGCCGCGAGGAACCAGGACCUUUACUUUGAAAAAUUAGAGUGUUUAAAGCAGGCAUUUUUGCUUGAAUACAUUAGCAUGGAAUAAUAAAAUAGGACGGCAUGAUUCUAUUUGUUGGUUUCUAGGAUCACCGUAAUGAUUAAUAGGGAUAGUUGGGGGGCAUUAGUAUUCAAUUGUCAGAGGUGAAAUUCUUGGAUUUUAUUGAAGACUAACUACUGCGAAAGCAUUUGCCAAGGAUGUUUUCAUUAAUCAAGAACGAAAGUUAGGGGAUACGAAGACGAUCAGAUACCGUCGUAGUCUUAACCAUAAACUAAUGCCGACUAGGAAUCAGACGAUGUAAUUUUAAUGUA
Molecule: ribosomal RNA, 511 nt
Filed under: uncultured Entrophospora
Lineage: Eukaryota; Fungi; Glomeromycota; Glomeromycetes; Entrophosporales; Entrophosporaceae
Description: SSU rRNA
Rfam family: Eukaryotic small subunit ribosomal RNA
Source: RNAcentral